UGUGGAGCACGGACAUGAGUCUUCACCCCAUCCGGGCCCUUCGCACUGGGCCCCGCCUCUCACUGAGGAGGAUCUAAUGUCGGGGCAUCGCCAGAGGGUCUCAGGCCAUGACUGACAAGCCCGGCUUCCACCACGUGAUCAAGUCCAGGCUGACCUGCUGGAUGAGGAGCGACAUGUGGCCUCGUCACCCCAUGGCGGGAUCCAAGGGCCAGCUGACUUCCAGGAGCAGAACAGCCCAAGACUAGCUGGUGCCUCCAGCUGUGAGGAGGCAGCCCCGCCCAGAGAACCAACCAGCCCCGCCCAGAGAACCGGCCAGCUCCGCCCAGAAAACCGGCCAGCCCCGCCCAGAGAACCGUCCAGCUCCGCCCAGAAAACCGGUCAGCCCCGCCCAGAGAACCGUCCAGCCCCGCCCAGAAAACCGGCCAGCCCCGCCCAGAGAACCAGCCAGCUCCGCCCAGAAAACCGGUCAGCCACGCCCACGCCAAGUUGCCAGCCCCGCCCACGCCCAGUUAGCCGCCCACAGAAUGGUGAGCUCAGCACGUGACUGUUGGAACAGGACCCUGGGUUCCGAGGUCAGUGGUGACACAGAAAAAGCAUUCUGCUAUAGUGUCUGGGGGUGGACUCCAAGCCCCGGUGGACACCGGAAGCUCCAGAUACAAGGAGGCUGGAUCCCUGAGUCACCACCGGGCAGGGUGCCAGCCACCUCCAAGAUGAGCAAGGUGUCUAACAGACAGCAAGCCAGGUGGGAGCUAGGGAGGAGCCCUACGUGGGCACAUGUCAUGGUGACCCCACAGCGACUGAGAGAGAAGGGGGUCCUAAAAGCCACCAGAGGAUGGAGGGUGUUUAUGAAAGAACAACUGACGUAAAGCACGUUUCUCAACCGCGGUGCGGGAGGCCAGGAUGCAGCCGGCUCAAAGUGAGGGCUCCAGCCUGUGUGAGAUCAAGUGACGGGAGACACCAUCAGCAGCCCACGGCAACAAAUGUGCAAUGUAGAGAGAUAACUUCAUAAAAGUGCAACCUCCUACAACUGGUACGAGAAGAAACAGAACCCUCAGGGCAGCAGCUACUGAACCAGCAUCGUCCUGUAAAGGAAACACCGGGCCCAGGGAAUUUCCUAGAUGAUUCUACCAAACUCUCAAAGAUAGAUCAUUCCAGAGUCCUCCCGGGAAUGAUAAAAGAAGGGAUACUCCUGAACUCAUUCUGUGAGUCAAGAAAGGCCGAUCUCACUCAGAAGCAUAAUAAAGUCCUAAAAAAAUAAGAGUAAA
Long non-coding RNA from Hyaena hyaena (striped hyena), 1265 nucleotides. RefSeq lists it as uncharacterized. Lineage: Eukaryota; Metazoa; Chordata; Mammalia; Carnivora; Hyaenidae. The transcript is spliced from 2 exons. The record is from RefSeq and is a predicted model, not a curated record.